CACACCGCCCGCCACACCAUGGGAGUUUGUUGCACCAGAAGCAGGUAGCCUAACCGCAAGGGGGGCGCUUGCCACGGUGUGGCCGAUGACUGGGGUG
Molecule: ribosomal RNA, 97 nt
Filed under: uncultured bacterium
Lineage: Bacteria
Description: partial 16S ribosomal RNA
Rfam family: Bacterial small subunit ribosomal RNA
Source: RNAcentral